RNAcentral lists this ribosomal RNA (253 nucleotides) under uncultured bacterium. Its description in RNAcentral is "partial 16S ribosomal RNA". It matches the Rfam family "Bacterial small subunit ribosomal RNA", at positions 524 to 776 of the family's 1533-position model. The record is from RNAcentral.
UACGUAGGGGGCAAGCGUUGUCCGGAUUUAUUGGGCGUAAAGAGCGUGUAGGCGGCCAGGUAGGUCAGCUGUGAAAACUCGAGGCUCAACCUCGAGACGUCGGUUGAAACCACCUGGCUAGAGUCCGGAAGAGGAGAGUGGAAUUCCUAGUGUAGAGGUGAAAUUCGUAGAUAUUAGGAAGAACACCAGUGGCGAAGGCGGCUCACUGGUCCGGUACUGACGCUGAGGUGCGAAAGCGUGGGGAGCAAACAGG